This 334-nucleotide unclassified non-coding RNA is filed under the name soil metagenome. RNAcentral describes it as "partial contains 5.8S ribosomal RNA, internal transcribed spacer 2, and large subunit ribosomal RNA". The stretch from base 1 to 120 matches the Rfam family "5.8S ribosomal RNA", at positions 35 to 154 of the family's 154-position model. The record is from RNAcentral.
GAUGAAGAACGUAGCGAAAUGCGAUACGUAAUGUGAAUUGCAGAAUUCAGUGAAUCAUCGAAUCUUUGAACGCACAUUGCGCCUGCCAGCACUCUGGCAGGCAUGCCUGUUCGAGCGUCAUUUCAACCAUCAAGCCCUAGGCUUGCGUUGGAGCCCUGCGGCUGCCGCAGGCCCCUAAAAGCAGUGGCGGGCUCGCUAUCACACCGAGUGCAGUAGUUUACUCUUCGCUCAGGGCGUGUGGCGGGUGCUAGCCGUGAAACCCCCAACUUCUCAAGGUUGACCUCGGAUCAGGUAGGAAUACCCGCUGAACUUAAGCAUAUCAAUAAGCGGAGGA